AGGUCGAGUAGACCAAGGCGCUUGAGAGAACUCUGCUGAAGGAACUAGGCAAAAUGGUACCGUAACUUCGGGAGAAGGUACGCUGUUGUUGGUGAUGGAACUCGCUUCCUGAGCUGACGACAGCCGCAGAAACCAGGCCGCUGCAACUGUUUAUUAAAAACAUAGCACUCUGCAAACACGAAAGUGGACGUAUAGGGUGUGAUGCCUGCCCGGUGCUGGAAGGUUAAUUGAUGGGGUUAGCGUAAGCGAAGCUCUUGAUCGAAGCCCCAGUAAACGGCGGCCGUAACUAUAACGGUCCUAAGGUAGCGAAAUUCCUUGUCGGGUAAGUUCCGACCUGCACGAAUGGCAUAAUGAUGGCGGCGCUGUCUCCAGCAGAGGCUCAGUGAAAUCGAAAUCGCUGUGAAGAUGCAGUGUACCCGCGGCUAGACGGAAAGACCCCGUGAACCUUUACUGCAGCUUGACACUGAACUUUGACCUUACUUGUGUAGGAUAGGUGGGAGGCUUUGAAGCUGGAACGCUAGUUCCAGUGGAGCCGUCCUUGAAAUACCACCCUGGUAAUGUUGAGGUUCUAACUCUGUCCCGUGAUCCGGGACGAGGACCGUGUCUGGUGGGUAGUUUGACUGGGGCGGUCUCCUCCUAAAGAGUAACGGAGGAGUACGAAGGUGCGCUCAGCGUGGUCGGAAAUCACGCGUAGAGUAUAAAGGCAAAAGCGCGCUUAACUGCGAGACCCACAAGUCGAGCAGGUACGAAAGUAGGUCUUAGUGAUCCGGUGGUUCUGUAUGGAAGGGCCAUCGCUCAACGGAUAAAAGGUACUCUGGGGAUAACAGGCUGAUACCGCCCAAGAGUUCAUAUCGACGGCGGUGUUUGGCACCUCGAUGUCGGCUCAUCUCAUCCUGGGGCUGAAGCAGGUCCCAAGGGUAUGGCUGUUCGCCAUUUAAAGAGGUACGCGAGCUGGGUUUAGAACGUCGUGAGACAGUUCGGUCCCUAUCUACCGUGGGCGCUGGAAAUUUGAGAGGAUCUGCUCCUAGUACGAGAGGACCAGAGUGGACGAACCUCUGGUGUACCGGUUGUGACGCCAGUCGCAUCGCCGGGUAGCUAUGUUCGGAAGGGAUAACCGCUGAAAGCAUCUAAGCGGGAAGCCUACCUCAAGAUAAGAUUUCCCUAGGACUUUAUGUCCUCUAAAGAGCCGUUCGAGACUAGGGCGUUGAUAGGUUGGAUGUGGAAGCAUAGUGAUAUGUGAAGCUGACCAAUACUAAUUGCUCGUGAGGCUUGACUAU
This 1277-nucleotide ribosomal RNA is filed under the name Acinetobacter baumannii IS-143. RNAcentral's name for it is "bacterial LSU rRNA". It matches the Rfam family "Bacterial large subunit ribosomal RNA", at positions 1669 to 2925 of the family's 2925-position model. The record is from RNAcentral. Lineage: Bacteria; Pseudomonadati; Pseudomonadota; Gammaproteobacteria; Moraxellales; Moraxellaceae.